CAGUAGCCACGGUAAUACGAAGGGAGCUAGCGUUAUUCGGAAUUACUGGGCGUAAAGCGCACGUAGGCGGCUUUGUAAGUAAGAGGUGAAAGCCCGGAGCUCAACUCCGGAACUGCCUUUUAGACUGCAUCGCUUGAAUCCAGGAGAGGUGAGUGGAAUUCCGAGUGUAGCGGUGAAAUGCGUAGAGAUCGGGAGGAACAUCAGUGGCGAAGGCGGCCAUCUGGGACAACACUGACGCUGAGGCACGAAAGCGUGGGGAGCAAACAGGAUUAGAUACCCCAGUAGUCCCUGUCUCUUAUAC
RNAcentral lists this ribosomal RNA (301 nucleotides) under uncultured bacterium. RNAcentral describes it as "partial 16S ribosomal RNA". It matches the Rfam family "Bacterial small subunit ribosomal RNA", at positions 509 to 807 of the family's 1533-position model. The record is from RNAcentral.